AUGGUUAACAUGAUUGGUAACGAGCCAUCAAGUGAAUUAGAAUGGGAUGAGCCAUUAGGAAGAGUGCCAAUCUUUUCCUAUGGCUCUGGGCAUAUGCUAAAUGAUAUCACAUCAUCUUGUUGGUUUACAUAUUUGUUGGUAUUCUUGACGGACGUUGGGCUUAGUCCAAGUGAUGCUGCUAUUGUCAUGCUUUCCGGUCAGUUGGCGGAUGGCUUCACAACAAUCUUUGUUGGUGAACUGAUUGAUCGUUUUGGACAUUUCAAACUGUGGCAUGCAGGAGGAUCUAUUCUAGUAGCAAUUUCCUUCUCAUCUGUUUUUGGUAGCUGUUUGCCUUGCAAACUCACGGGGACUAAUUCGUCUACUCUGGAGACUGUUGGAUACAGCAUAUUUGCCUCUAUUUUCAAUGUUGGUUGGGCAGUUACCCAAGUCGCUCACAUGUCAAUGGUGAACUGCAUGACGUCAAACCCAACAAGUCGGGUUGCACUAGUGAGCUGCCGCAAUGCCUUCACCAUGGUCGCAAAUCUUAGCUUGUAUGGCAUUGCCUUGUUGAUAUUUACUCUAAUGCACUCAGUGAGUGUAUUAGUUCAGUAUCGUUGGAUUGCUUAUACGGCCAUUUCCAUCGGAUGUUGUUUUGUUGUUGCGUUCUUGAUUGGAACAAAAGAGCCAGGGUUAAAUCAACCUUCUCAGGAUAAGAGCCUGUCCAGAAUUUCAUGGGCCCACUGGUUCAAGAAAGUAUUGUACUACCAAGUUGCUCUAGUCUACAUGUGCACUAGAUUGGUAACCAAUGUUUCACAGGCAUUUCUUGCUUUCUAUGUGAUAAAUGAUUUGGGAAUGCACCAAUCUUCCAAAGCGCUGGUACCUGCUAUUAUCUAUGUAUGCAGCUUGGUAGUAUCUGUCAUGUUACAGGAGACUAGAUGGUCGGGUUGGCGUUUAAAAAACUACUUCUCAGCUGGAGCAAUGAUUUGGAUAUUGUCCGGUAUUGGGAUUGUUCUUUUACCAAGCAGAAUGCACAACUUCAUGUAUGUGCUGUCAAUUACAAUAGGAGCGGCCAAUGCACUUAUGACAGUCACAAGUAUCAGCAUGGAAGGUGUUUUAGUAGGAGAAGAUCUAAAUGGUUGUGCUUUUGUGUACGGCUCUUUAAGUUUUAUUGACAAAGUGUCAUGUGGCAUAGCGUUGUAUAUCCUCGAGUCCUAUCAAGGAAGCACCAAGAUCAGUGAGAACCAAGAAUUGGCAUAUGGCUAUUCCGUUACGAGACUCGGUUUGGGGCUAGUUCCAGCCGUCUUCUCGCUGCUUUCAGCCAUAGUAGCUCAUACCAUGGACCUCCCUGAAGCUCGACGGAGACCUCUAGUGGAGCCUCUUCUUGCCUAA
This 1368-nucleotide ribosomal RNA is filed under the name Triticum aestivum (bread wheat). RNAcentral's name for it is "partial small subunit ribosomal RNA". The record is from RNAcentral. Lineage: Eukaryota; Viridiplantae; Streptophyta; Magnoliopsida; Poales; Poaceae.